CAGUAGCCACGGGAAUACGGAGGGCGCGAGCGUUACCCGGAUUUACUGGGCGUAAAGGGCGUGUAGGCGGCCUGGGGCGUCCCAUGUGAAAGGCCACGGCUCAACCGUGGAGGAGCGUGGGAUACGCUCAGGCUAGAGGGUGGGAGAGGGUGGUGGAAUUCCCGGAGUAGCGGUGAAAUGCGCAGAUACCGGGAGGAACGCCGAUGGCGAAGGCAGCCACCUGGUCCACUUCUGACGCUGAGGCGCGAAAGAGUGGGGAGCAAACCGGAUUAGAUACCCCCGUAGUCCCUGUCUCUUAUAA
This 301-nucleotide ribosomal RNA is filed under the name uncultured bacterium. RNAcentral describes it as "partial 16S ribosomal RNA". It matches the Rfam family "Bacterial small subunit ribosomal RNA", at positions 509 to 808 of the family's 1533-position model. The record is from RNAcentral.